Molecule: ribosomal RNA, 357 nt
Filed under: uncultured bacterium
Lineage: Bacteria
Description: bacterial SSU rRNA
Rfam family: Bacterial small subunit ribosomal RNA
Source: RNAcentral
GACGAACGCUGGCGGCGUGCCUAAUACAUGCAAGUCGAGCGAGCUUGCCUAGAUGAUUUUAGUGCUUGCAACUAAAAUGAAAAACUAGAUACAAAGCGAGCGGCGGACGGGUGAGUAACACGUGGGUAACCUGCCCAAGAGACUGGGAUAACACCUGGAAACAGAUGCUAAAUACCGGAUAAACAAACACUAGACGCAUGUCUAGGGGUUUGAAAAGAUGGUUCUGCUAUCACUCUUGGAUGGACCUGCGGUGCAUUAGCUAGUUGGUAAGGUAACGGCUUACCAAGGCAAUGAUGCAUAGCCGAGUUGAGAGACUGAUCGGCCACAUUGGGACUGAGACACGGCCCAAACUCCUAC